RNAcentral lists this ribosomal RNA (170 nucleotides) under uncultured bacterium. Its description in RNAcentral is "partial 16S ribosomal RNA". It matches the Rfam family "Bacterial small subunit ribosomal RNA", at positions 1332 to 1500 of the family's 1533-position model. The record is from RNAcentral.
UUGCUAGUAAUCGCGAAUCAGAAUGUCGCGGUGAAUACGUUCCCGGGCCUUGUACACACCGCCCGUCACACCAUGAGAGUCGAUAACACCCGAAGCCUGUGAGCUAACCUUUUAGGAGGCAGCAGUCGAAGGUGGGGUUGAUGAUUGGGGUGAAGUCGUAACAAGGUAUC